AUUGGGCCCGAGUUUGAUCCUGGCUUAGAGCGAACGCUGGCGGCAGGCUUAACACAUGCAAGUCGAGCGGGCGUAGCAAUACGUCAGCGGCAGACGGGUGAGUAACGCGUGGGAACGUACCUUUUGGUUCGGAACAACACAGGGAAACUUGUGCUAAUACCGGAUAAGCCCUUACGGGGAAAGAUUUAUCGCCGAAAGAUCGGCCCGCGUCUGAUUAGCUAGUUGGUGGGGUAACGGCCCACCAAGGCGACGAUCAGUAGCUGGUCUGAGAGGAUGAUCAGCCACAUUGGGACUGAGACACGGCCCAAACUCCUACGGGAGGCAGCAGUGGGGAAUAUUGGACAAUGGGCGCAAGCCUGAUCCAGCCAUGCCGCGUGAGUGAUGAAGGCCCUAGGGUUGUAAAGCUCUUUUGUGCGGGAAGAUAAUGACGGUACCGCAAGAAUAAGCCCCGGCUAACUCCGUGCCAGCAGCCGCGGUUA
Molecule: ribosomal RNA, 479 nt
Filed under: uncultured bacterium
Lineage: Bacteria
Description: bacterial SSU rRNA
Rfam family: Bacterial small subunit ribosomal RNA
Source: RNAcentral